GGUGGAUCAGACUUUGGAGCAGGUGAUCCUUGGACGCCCACAGUACAUCACCUUCAUGAGCGCAUCAGUGAACACCAGUCUAAGGAAGACAUCUCUGAACGUAAUUUUGGAGAUUUUGAUGAGUUCCAUUGAAACAAGGAGGAAUGUGAUGUCCAGUAUCAGUUCUGCAGACCCAAGGACAAAGAAAAUUCUGUGAUAAACUCAUCCAGUGUGACUGUAAUGUGGGUAUCUAUUUGAUACCUCCAAGUAACUGUUUAUUCUUGUGCCAGUUGAGUAGAUGGUACGGGCCAGUUGGUGUUGAUUAGUGAACCACGGACAAAGGGCAUAUGUCACAUGAGUUGCUCCUGGAUAAAGUCACCCAGUCACUUCCUGAUGAAUAUCCUGCAUAAACUCCAAAGACAAAAGAGAGUUAAGGUUGUUUUUCUCACCUUAGACCAGGCAGUGAUAGAAGAACUGGGGGAAGAGAUAAUUGUAUUUAUCUUGGUGAGGGUGACAAAUCAUGGCAAAUGAGCAAAAUGAAAAAGGAUACAAGACACCGGACUUUCAAAUCAACAAUUGUUUCAAAAGACUCCUACUGGAUUCCUGCUAGUGAUGGGAGAAAAUUAUCAUUCUGCCCUGCUGGAAAUUUUCCAUGCUCUUCAUUCGUUCUCCUGUAUUUCCUAACGCCAAUAAAAGAGGAGAUCCCUGAGGACACGCCUCUCUUUAAUAUCUGCUUUCCUUGCAAAGAUAAGCCAAAGACCAAUAGCACAGUGGCUCACCCCUGUAACCCCAGCACUUUGUGAGGCCAAGGCGGGCAGAUCAUGUCAGGUCUGGAGUUUGAGACCAGCCUGGGGAAACCCCGCCUCUACUAAAAAUACAACAGUUAGCCGGGCGUGGUGGUGGGCACCUAUAAUCCCAGCUGAGGAAGGAGAAUCGCUUGAAUCAGGGGGGCAGAUGUUGCAGUGAGCUGAGAUCGUGCCACUUCACUCCAGCCUGGGCGAAAGGGUGAAACUUCAU
This 996-nucleotide long non-coding RNA is filed under the name Homo sapiens (human). RNAcentral describes it as "HSALNT0371258". The record is from RNAcentral. Lineage: Eukaryota; Metazoa; Chordata; Mammalia; Primates; Hominidae.